This 65-nucleotide transfer RNA is filed under the name Oedipoda caerulescens. RNAcentral's name for it is "tRNA-Ile". Lineage: Eukaryota; Metazoa; Arthropoda; Insecta; Orthoptera; Acrididae. The record is from RNAcentral.
AAUGAGAUGCCUGAAUAAAGGGUUACCUUGAUAGGGUAAAUAAAGUAAAUAUAUUACUCUCAUUA